Molecule: long non-coding RNA, 2032 nt
Organism: Vidua chalybeata
Lineage: Eukaryota; Metazoa; Chordata; Aves; Passeriformes; Viduidae
Exons: 2
Source: RefSeq, a predicted model, not a curated record
CGCCGCACCGCGCAUCACCGUUCCACUCACACAUACACACACACGCACAAGCACGCACGUCCGGACGUAACAGACACACUACACUGCAAUCGGGACACACACCACACACUGAAAUCGCGAUUUCGCCCUCCCCGAGCCGCGCUAUCAGCUGGGGAGGUCCUCCCGCCGCCGGCCUCUCCCCCGAUGGCGGUCUGCUUGCAAGCCCCUAGGCAAACCUGCGCGCAAAAACAUCUUUUUGCGACUUAUCAGUGCCAACCUUAAGAAAAUAAAUUAAUACAUACCGCUUUCAUCCGCUAGUCGACGGGCCGUGGUAUGCUCCCCGCAGUGUACAGCCGAGGCGCAGAGUCCCUCCGGGGAAAAGCCCCGUGGCGCCUGAGGGUGUCUGCUCCCAACCGGACCUGCGGGUGAGCAGAGCAGUCCCUUCGUGGUCGCCAACUGAAACGAUACGCGGAAUAAAUCAAUAGACUCCAUAACCUGGGGUAGUUAUGAAGUGGGUAUGUACGUCAGCGCCUGGCACAAGUGAGAUAGCCCUCCAAAACUUGUGCCCCGAGCCUCAGUCUGACCCACACUUUUAUUCUUAAAGACGUUCCAUAUGCAAUACACUGCACGACUUUUUCAUGCGUAUUCAACCCCUGGCCCCGCCUGUCCUCGCUUCUCAUGCUAAGUAAGUCCACGCCCUUCUGGGCAUGCGUGGUUUGCUGUGGUGGUCGUACGGGGGUCUCUUGGUGGUCCUGAGGCUGAAGAUUAUGGUCUUCCUCAUGAUUGAACUUUUGAACUUUUCCUCUCUGCGCGUGCGCUUUUGGUCCUUUGGUGCUUAUCUGAGUACGUCUGUCAGUCUUGAUAGGCUUGGAGACAGAGGAGCUUCUUUACCUGGGUUCUUUGCUUCUUCUGGUAUUGUUCUUUAUGCAAGAAGCUUCCGAAAUUUGCAUUUUCCUUUGCCCUGUGUAUUAGGCAGAGGUUUCUUAAGUAAAAGGUUGAAAAUUCAACAGAUAACUCUACAAGCUAAAUUAUAAAUGCUUAAUUCAUUUUGUUAACCUAACUCUAAAAAUCUCUGUUUCACCUCGAGAGCUGUCACAGAGCAGAAGAGCAGCUGAGAUGCUGAAAAGCAGCAAAGCUGAACAGCCUGCCUCAGCUUCAGCAGUGUGCAAUUGACUGAAGGCAAAACACGAAGCAGCAGAGCAGCGGGCUUCUCUGCCACCGUGUUCUCUGCAUCUCGGAGCCUCUGGGGAGCAACAAGAAUUUCCAAGGUGGUGUAAGAGCCCGUCUGAAGCCCCUCAUUUUCCGUUCUGCCUUCCAAUUGCCACGAGAAAGAAUCCCUUCCUCCACUGCAGUUCCGGCUUAGAACAGGACACAGUGCAGGUGCAACCACUGAACCGUCAUGCUAGCUGUUCCGAACAAGGCCUGGCAAGAACUUGGCAAGGACUUGGCAAGGACUUGGCAAAGACCUGACGUGGACCCAGCACGGGACAGCCUGAUGCGCGGCCUGCUUCUAAUCUCCGUUCUUAAGCCAAAUGAACUUUUGGGGUGACUCCCGGGGUCCUUCAUUGAAGACCCCUCAUCUGCCUCAUUACCAGUGUGACAAACAAAGAAUGAGAACCCUCCUCCCAAGGACUGAGACUGAGACCCCUGCUAUAGGGAGGAGGGGAAAUUGGUGGUCUGACCACUAAUGACAUGACCUGUUUCCCUUCAGUGAUUCAAAUGGACUUAUUCUUCAUUGGAUUCGUCUUGCUUUGGUGGUUUCUGUGGACUCUCCUCUUCCCGCGUGGCGAUUACAAUGGACUUUCGUUGUUACCCUCGCUCCUCCCUCUUUCCUCUGUGGACUAUAACUGGAGCCCUGAGUCGACCAGAACUUCGGAGACUCCCCCGACACGACAGACAGAACCCCAUCGUCCGGACCACUGAGGAUCUCGCCUGUGUUGGUAGCUAUUCCCAUACCCCUCUUCUCUCUCUCUCUCUCCUUUUAUCUCCUUUCCGAUCCCCACUAUCGCAUUUACUGUUUUGGCCCUAAUAAAGGUGCAUUUGUUGUGAUUAA